Peromyscus maniculatus bairdii (prairie deer mouse) is the source of this 659-nucleotide non-coding RNA. The record is from RefSeq and is a predicted model, not a curated record. NCBI's taxonomy places the organism in Eukaryota, Metazoa, Chordata, Mammalia, Rodentia, Cricetidae.
UGGGAUUAGAGGUGUGCACACCGCUGCCAGACAAAGUUAAUCGUAUUUAGGGAAAUAAAUAGAAAUAUUUAGCUAUGGGAAAAGCAAGGUAACACCGUAGCCCGCAUGACGUAUGCUUUCGUGGCUCUCUCUCACACUAGGUUCUGUGGGCUCUUAUUUCCUUAAGGUAAAUGCGUCUCCUUUCCAUUAUACAGACAGGCAAGCAGCAGCUAAUAGAAGGAAGUGAAUCAUCAGAGGUCAUUCACUGAAAAUGAGAUUUUGAGGAACCUCAUGACACAUUUCCACCUUCCUAUUCUGAAUCCUCACCUCCUUCCUUCCUUCACAGCCACCCUCGGUGCCUGUCUCUCCUCUCCGCCUACAGAAAAUGCUCCAUUCCCCCAAGAAGUGACAGAGACCAACCAGAGGAGCCUCUGAGGAAGGCCUGAGACUAAGUUCUAUCUGCAUGACUCAGUGAGGAAGACACAGCGUCGUCUCCACUCCAUGGCCAAUGAACGGCCAAGGAUGGAACCCAGGGAUUUGUGGAUGGCAGGCAAGUCAGCUGUGCCACUGAGCAAUAGAUAGCUCUGCCCUCAAACCCAUGCUGAUAAUUACUGUGAUUGUAUUGUCUUUUUAGUCCCGCCUCUAAGCAAAAAAAAGCUGUCUUUUGGGGUAGGUGCCUG